This 72-nucleotide transfer RNA is filed under the name archaeon BMS3Abin17. RNAcentral describes it as "tRNA-His". It matches the Rfam family "tRNA". From Rfam's summary of the family: Transfer RNA (tRNA) molecules are approximately 80 nucleotides in length. Their secondary structure includes four short double-helical elements and three loops (D, anti-codon, and T loops). Further hydrogen bonds mediate the characteristic L-shaped molecular structure. tRNAs have two regions of fundamental functional importance: the anti-codon, which is responsible for specific mRNA codon recognition, and the 3' end, to which the tRNAs corresponding amino acid is attached (by aminoacyl-tRNA synthetases). tRNAs cope with the degeneracy of the genetic code in two manners: having more than one tRNA (with a specific anti-codon) for a particular amino acid; and 'wobble' base-pairing, i.e. permitting non-standard base-pairing at the 3rd anti-codon position. The record is from RNAcentral.
GCGGUUGUAGUAUAUUGGUAUUACAUGUGGUUGUGGUCCGCAGAAAGAGUGUUCGAUUCACUCCUUCCGCCC